Molecule: ribosomal RNA, 736 nt
Filed under: uncultured bacterium
Lineage: Bacteria
Description: bacterial SSU rRNA
Rfam family: Bacterial small subunit ribosomal RNA
Source: RNAcentral
AGGGUUUGAUCAUGGCUCAGAUUGAACGCUGGCGGCAGGCCUAACACAUGCAAGUCGAGCGAGAAAUCACUUCGGUGAGAGUACAGCGGCGGACGGGUGAGUAACGCGUAGGAAUCUACCCGGUAGUGGGGGACAACAUGUGGAAACGCAUGCUAAUACCGCAUACGCCCUAUGGGGGAAAGCGGGGGACCUUCGGGCCUCGCGCUAUCGGAUGAGCCUGCGUAAGAUUAGCUAGUUGGUGGGGUAAAGGCCUACCAAGGCGACGAUCUUUAGCUGGUCUGAGAGGAUGAUCAGCCACACUGGGACUGAGACACGGCCCAGACUCCUACGGGAGGCAGCAGUGGGGAAUAUUGCGCAAUGGGCGAAAGCCUGACGCAGCCAUGCCGCGUGUGUGAAGAAGGCCCUAGGGUUGUAAAGCACUUUCAAUUGGGAAGAAAAGCUUGUCGUUAAUAUCGGCAAGCCCUGACAUUACCUUUAGAAGAAGCACCGGCUAACUCCGUGCCAGCAGCCGCGGUAAUACGGAGGGUGCGAGCGUUAAUCGGAAUUACUGGGCGUAAAGCGCGCGUAGGCGGUUAGUUAAGUCAGCUGUGAAAGCCCUGGGCUCAACCUGGGAACUGCAGUUGAUACUGGCCAACUAGAGUGCAAGAGAGGGAGGUAGAAUUCCACGUGUAGCGGUGAAAUGCGUAGAUAUGUGGAGGAAUACCGGUGGCGAAGGCGGCCUCCUGGCUUGACACUG